GUGUCAGCCGCCGCGGUAAUACGUAGGGUGCAAGCGUUGUCCGGAAUUAUUGGGCGUAAAGAGCUCGUAGGCGGUUUGUCGCGUCUGCUGUGAAAACUCGGGGCUUAACUCCGGGCCUGCAGUGGGUACGGGCAGACUAGAGUGCGGUAGGGGAGACUGGAAUUCCUGGUGUAGCGGUGAAAUGCGCAGAUAUCAGGAGGAACACCGGUGGCGAAGGCGGGUCUCUGGGCCGUAACUGACGCUGAGGAGCGAAAGCGUGGGGAGCGAACAGGAUUAGAUACCCUGGUAGUCC
Molecule: ribosomal RNA, 292 nt
Filed under: uncultured bacterium
Lineage: Bacteria
Description: partial 16S ribosomal RNA
Rfam family: Bacterial small subunit ribosomal RNA
Source: RNAcentral